AGGUCUUGGUCUUAAACCUCACAUUGUUUUUACCCCAUACCCAUACAUGCAAGCCUCACCAUUACAGUGAAAUAGCCUACCACUAACACACAGAGCAGGUAUCAGGUAUAUCACCCACAACGCCAAGCAACUAGCCACACCCCCACGGGCCUGCAGCAGUACUUAAUAUUGGGCCAUAAGCGGAAGCUUGACCUAAUAAUGGGGUUACUAGGGCCGGUUAAUCUCGUGCCAGCGACCGCGGUUAUACGACAGACCCAAAAUAAUGUCAUCGGCGUAAAGCACGACUUAAAAAUAGUUACCAAAUUAGGACUAAGAAUAAGCUGGGCUGUAAAAAGCCAUAAGAUAACUAAAACACCCAUCCUAAUCUAAAAACCACUUCAACUCGUGAAAGCAGGGAUACAAACUAAGAUUAGAUACCUUACUAUGCCCUGCCAUAACACGGCAAUCAAAUAACCAAUUGCCCGCCAAAUAACUACGAGUAAAAACUUAAAAUUUAAAAGACUUGACGGUACUUCACAACAACCUAGAGGAGCCUGUCCAAUAACCGAUAAUCCACGAUUAACCCCACCCGUUUUUGCCCAACAGUCUAUAUACCGCCGUCGCCAGCUUACCUUGCAAAAGAAACAAAGCAAGCCAAACUGAACUACACUAACACGACAGGUCGAGGUGUAACUCAUAAACGGGUCAAAGAUGGGCUACAUUUUCUUACCAGAAAAAACGAACCGAGCAUGAAACAACAACCCGAAGGCGGAUUUAGCAGUAAGAUAAAAAUAGAACAUUUACCUGAAACUAAUGCAAUGAAGUGCGUACACACCGCCCGUCAUCCCUGUAGAACACCAUAAACAUACAUAAACAUAAAUACCUCUCAAAGCAGGGCAAGUCGUAACAUGGUAAGCGUACUGGAAGGUGUGCUUA
This 915-nucleotide non-coding RNA is filed under the name Hypsiscopus matannensis (Boulenger's water snake). The record is from RNAcentral. Lineage: Eukaryota; Metazoa; Chordata; Lepidosauria; Squamata; Homalopsidae.